UAUCAAGCUCUUCUCCCCAUCCUGUAAAGAUACAAAUAUAUUAAGGAAAUAAUCUUAGAACAAAACAAAGGGGAUAAACUACUGCUUAGUAGAAGGCACCCUGGCCAGAUCUAGUUUCUGGUCUGGCCUCACUUCUGGCCAAAUAUCCUCAGGAGGUGAAAUGGGAUUGUCUCCUCAAGAAAUUAGAGUUUCACGGAAAUUGUGAUAUUGGGCUAAGACCAUCACCACCACCACCACAAUACAUCAACAUUGUUUGAGAUGGGUGUUUUCCCUAGAAGAGCUUUCUUCAGCAACAAUUGGGCCUCACCUCAUUUUUCUGCUUAAGAAGAAUCUUCAAGAUCUUCUCUGUGAAAAAGAAAAGAUAAAAGCCCCCAAACACCACUGCAGACUUGGAGACAUAAUAAUCUUCCAGAGGGUUGAAACCAAAUGCCUGUGGACCCAGGAAAAGAAAAUGAGUUUUAAAGAAAAUAAAGCAUCUUUACUGAUCCCCCUCUUAUCUCUUAACUACUUCCUUGACUCUAGGAAAGGAGAGAGGCAUAAUGGAGUAACUCUGCCGUCUACCCAUCCUCUUUCCAGCAAAAAUCUAGUCCUUGGUGUUUCCCUGAUGUGACAUCACUAAACCUGCCAGGUUCUUCUCAAGCUUAUUUGCUGAUGCAAAAGACUGAUCAUCUGUAGAAUUUUAAUCCCAGAAAGAAAAACCUCCGAUAUGGUUUUCCACUUUUGAUUUAUCUUGGUGCUUUGCUAUGAAGGCAUUCUCUGCCAAUAGAUUUCAUAUUGAAGGAGCAGACACUUGUAUUUAUUUUCAUCUUAUCUAGUGUUCCUGGCUGACCUGCCUGUAAACACAAAGGGAGAUGGUGUAAUUAUACUUUCUAAAACGGGAAACCCAUUUCCCAGUUAAGUAAUAAGAACUGCAGCGUUUUCCUAACCGCAGACCUCCCAGUGACCACAGAACCAAGAAAGUGGACUGUGUUAUUGCGAGCGUCAAUUUUUGGGUUUUGUUUUGAGUCCUUUCUGAAACUGUCACUUAUCAAAGAGGGAGGGGAGAAUCCACUGGGAAGAGGACAGGAGUAGAAAUCAAGAGAAUUCUGUCCUAGGGUAAGCUCCUGAUUUAUGGUGGGUUCUUGUGAAUGUGUCUAAUGACCUGGCCGGGCACGGUGGCUCAUGCACUUUAAAGGACCGAGGUGGGUGGAUCACUUGAGGCCAGGAGUUUUGAGACCAGCCUGGCCAACAUGGCGAAACCCCAACUCUACUAAAAAAAAAAAUACAAAAAUUAGCUGGGCCUGGUGGCACACCUGUAAUCCCAGCUACUCGGGAGUGUGAGGCAGGAGAAUGGCUUGAACCCAGGAGGCAGAGAUUGCAGUGAGCCGAGAUGGCACCACUGCACUCCAGUCUGGGUGACAGAGUGAGACUGUCUCAAAAACAAACAAAAAAAAGUAUCUAACGACUUGCUCCUAUUUUAUUCUUAAAUUUUUUUGUGGGUACAUAGGAAGUAUAUAUAUUUACCGGGUUGUUCCUCCAUUUUCUGAUGGGAAACGGGCCUUGAAUAAACUUCAGCCCUCUCAUGAAUUGGUCCAAAAUAAAAGUUGAUCCCAACUUCAAGGAACUCUGGGCUGUUUGUUGCCUUUAUGUUUUAAACAGGCCAAAUUGAAUCACCACCCUCCAGGGAAACAACACUUUCAUGUUGACUUUCCAGGGGAGUCGAAUCAUCUUGGGGGAAAAGUGAAGUGAAAAUAGGCAACGAACACUUCUCUGCAAAAAGCCACAAAGGAUGGUGAAUACAGAAUCAUGGGGUUGAGCUUCAGAAAUCCCAAAAGCUGGGUUCUCGACUCAGGGAUAUGCGCUCUUGUGCAGGUCAGAUUCCAACGUGGUAAAACGUUACUUGUUCUAUCGAUGCCAUGGAGUUAACCUAAGGAUCCACUAGGAGGGAGCCAACUGACAUUUCAGAAAACACCAAGUGUUGUAAGAGGCGCAUGCAGUCAUCUCUGCUUCAACUGCGGCUCUGUCCAGGCCUGCGAGACCACCCACAGGGAGACGUCCUGUGCUUAUUGUAAUUAAUGGGUCUGCUGAGGGGAUUACACCAAAUUAGAUGAACCAUCAGCUCCUUCUUUUGUGGCAAGUUUUCUCAUGAACUUAUUAGGCAAAGGUACCAUCAAGGUAUAUAAAACCAGACAUUGUUUGACUUGCAUUGCCUUUGCCCCAAAACUCCCUAUGGACAAUCUUUUUACUGAGAACUGUGGGUUCUGAUGAUGUGGGAGUUUGUUUGUUUGUUUUGAGACGGAGUCUCACUCCCGUCACCCAGGCUGGAGUGCAGUGGUGCAAUCUCGGCUCACUGCAGCCUCCAUCUCCUGGGUUCAAGUGAUUCUUGUGCCUCCCGAAUAGCUGGGAUUACAGGCGUGCGCUACCACGUCUGGCUAAUUUUUGUGUUUUUAGUAUAGACGGGGUUUCACCAUGUUGGCCAGGCUGGUCUUGAACUCCUGACUUCAAACGAUCCACCUGCCUCAGCCUCCCAAAGUGCUGGGAAUAUAGGUGUGAGCCACUGCACCCGGCUGAUGAUGUUUUUUAAACUUCUCUGCACCCAAAGCCUUAAUCUGAGCACCACAACUAAGCCAGAGUGAGCUCGCUACACUGCAUCUUUUCACCCCACAUCAGACAGCACUUUCCGCACCAGGCACUCAGUGCUGCAGCAGACUCGCUCGUUCCACCCUCACAACAUCAUCCUGAGGCCGGUCUAUUGCUCUCCCCAUUUCACAUCUGAAGAAACAGAGGCAGUGUGAGGUCAGUGGUGUGCCUGGGGUUACGGAACCUACUGAUAGCAGAGCUGAGAUUUGAACCCAGCUCUUCAGCCUAUGCUGGGCUGCCUCUCCUAGUUCACGCCUAAGUUCUAGCUUCGCUUUCCAAAAGGAAAGGGCCUCCAGGUGCCCUCUCUAUGCCUUCUAUCCAAACGGAGGUCCUCCCACUGUGCCCGCCGGCAUGCUCCGGGGUGAAGGCCCUGGCUUGCCAUACCUCCGGGAUGAGCUGGAAGAGGGCGUUGGAGUAGAGGGUUCCAAUCGCCAGAGCUAUGAAGUAGAGCAGCAGCCUCUUGUAAAAGGUCUUCUUC
This 3097-nucleotide long non-coding RNA is filed under the name Homo sapiens (human). Its description in RNAcentral is "HSALNT0134048". Lineage: Eukaryota; Metazoa; Chordata; Mammalia; Primates; Hominidae. The record is from RNAcentral.